AACUUAUUCAACAAAUCAUCCAAGGACAAGCUAUAGGAGCCAUGGCUUUUGACAAGAAGAUAACUGAAUUACACAACAAGAUCGAUUGUUCUUACAACGAUAGCCUUAUGCCUCUCUCUACAGCUAAAAGGCUAGGGAUCAUGGAAUACAAGUUCUGCAACUUAGCUUUACUCUUAGUUGAUGGUUCUGUUGCACAUCCUCACGGUCUAAUAGAGAAUCUGCCUGUCAUGAUUGGAAAUAUUGAGCUACCUACAGAUUUUGUUGUAUUGGACGUAGAUGAAGAAGGCAAGGAUCCCUUGAUCGUAGGCAGACCAUUCUUAGCUUCAGCUGGAGCAGUCAUAGAUGUCAGGAAUGGAAAAAUUAAUCUGAACCUUGAAAAAGGCAUCAAGAUGAAGUUUGACAUCAGAGAAGCUUUAGGGAAAUCAACAACAGGAGUUCAGAAUUUUGGGAUUCAGGACAUGGAUGUUGAUGAAGAAACAGAAGCUGGAACCUCACCAAAAGUCAACUAUACUUCUCAACUCAGCAAGCUGAAGUGAACUUUUGACCACAAGAAGAGAGCAACAGAAAGGCUAGCUCAGACUGAAGAUCCUACAGAAGAUGACUGGUAUGAGAUGAGAAAAAAA
This 623-nucleotide small RNA is filed under the name Arabidopsis thaliana (thale cress). Its description in RNAcentral is "ATSL275890". The record is from RNAcentral. Lineage: Eukaryota; Viridiplantae; Streptophyta; Magnoliopsida; Brassicales; Brassicaceae.